Molecule: ribosomal RNA, 392 nt
Filed under: uncultured bacterium
Lineage: Bacteria
Description: bacterial SSU rRNA
Rfam family: Bacterial small subunit ribosomal RNA
Source: RNAcentral
GAUGAACGCUAGCUACAGGCUUAACACAUGCAAGUCGAGGGGCAUCAGUUUGGUUUGCUUGCGAAACCAAAGCUGGCGACCGGCGCACGGGUGAGUAACGCGUAUGCAACUUACCUAUCAGAGGGGAUAGCCCGGCGAAAGUCGGAUUAAUACCCCAUAAAACAGGGGUCCCGCAUGGGAAUAUUUGUUAAAGAUUCAUCGCUGAUAGAUAGGCAUGCGUUCCAUUAGGCAGUUGGCGGGGUAACGGCCCACCAAGGCAUCGAUGGAUAGGGGUUCUGAGAGGAAGGUCCCCCACAUUGGAACUGAGACACGGUCCAAACUCCUACGGGAGGCAGCAGUGAGGAAUAUUGGUCAAUGGACGAGAGUCUGAACCAGCCAAGUAGCGUGAAGGA